Non-coding RNA from Triticum aestivum (bread wheat), 126 nucleotides. The record is from Rfam. Lineage: Eukaryota; Viridiplantae; Streptophyta; Magnoliopsida; Poales; Poaceae.
UUAAUACUACCUCCGUCCGGACAAGCUUGUCCCAAGCUUGUCUCUCAAAUGGAUGAAUCUAGCACUAAUUUGGUGAUAGGUACAUCCAUUUGAGGGACAAGCUUUUUCGGACGGAGGGAGUAUGAU